CACAUACUCCCUCCGUCCAAAAAUACUUGUCAUCAAAAUGAACAAAAAUGGACGUAUCUAGAACUAAAAUACAUCUAAAUACAUCUCCUUUUAUUCAUUUUGAUGACAAGUAUUUCCGGACGGAGGGAGUAUUUU
This is a non-coding RNA of Triticum aestivum (bread wheat), 135 nucleotides long. Lineage: Eukaryota; Viridiplantae; Streptophyta; Magnoliopsida; Poales; Poaceae. The record is from Rfam.